UUUUGGAGGUCACUCCUGUUGGAGUUUUUCCUGAGAGCCUAUGACUUGGGUGUUUUUGUUGCUCAUUUCCAGCUUACUCUGAGAAGAUUGCUCUCAUAAGGACCUGAAUCAAUGGUACCAGAUGAUUGUAUUGUGAAGGCCAGGGUAAAAUGCUAAUCUUAUGUCACUUUGCAGGAAAGAUACCAGAUUUGUGACUCUGAGGAACUUGGACAAAACGGGUGUACCCAUGGUUAUGGAUAUGGAAGUCUGGAUUCUACACAUGCUUUAUCCUGCUUUCUAGCAAGUAAAAGAGAUUCUAGGGAAGAAUUAGUAAAACUAUUAAGGAGGCAACAUGUUGUCAAGUAUAAAGUAGGACUGUAGCUCUUGUUUUCCUGGCUCUCCAAUUAUAUUUCUAAUCCAAAAACUAGACCCUAAUUUUAUGUCUUGCUGAAGGCAAGUUUUGUUUAACUAGUAUUGGAGGGAAAGCCAAGCAAAUAAAAAACAGCUUAGUGCCUUCUCUCCCUUUCAGGUAACAAAUAACCCAAAUAAGAUGAAUAGGUACUGAAGUGAACCUGACCUUAAGAUCCUCUGAUGGAUUUAGAAACUGGAAAAUGCUACCAGAAGAUACUGCCACAGUUUUUUAUUUGCAGUUGUGUAAAAUACUUAUUUAUAAUAGUUCCAUGUACCUGAGGGUAGGAACUUUCUUGGUUCUCUGUGGGCUUAAGACAGGUGCACUUUUGUGGUGAAGACCACUUCUGGCAUCUUAUUUGCCUGGUAUUGUGGGUACAAAAUAAAGCAACUCUGUUGGCCUGACGUGAAUUUCUUUUCUAUCUUCAUAGAAAAAAAUGACCAGACUAAACAAAAUAUGUGUUAAUUUCCAAGUUUUGCUAGAGAACUUUGACAGAAAGCUGUUCUUUCAAGAACAAGCUAGCAGCUAACACAAAUGGUAUGAGCAUGGAAAUGGGGCUAGAGUGGUGGAGAUCAUUCUCACAAGGCACUGUGUGUCAAAGAUUCACUGAAUUUUGGUUGGUGAAACAUGUUUUCUCUAAAUCACUUAAUACAAUCUACUUUCAUUGUGAGCAUGUGAGAAACAGAUUUAGCCUCUUGACCUCCAUGGCUUGGAACAGCCUGUGACAAUAACUUAAACUCUAAGGUAGAGAGAGCACUGGACUUCCUAGCAGCACAGAGCUCUAGCUACAAGGAAGUACACUGUGUGUGCUUUCUCUGAAGUGCAUGAUUGGGUCUGGAGAGAGACACUUUGACACAGACUGCUUUUGAGAACAGAUUGUAAAAGGCUUUGUUUCCAUUCCACUGCAAAAUGGCAAAAGACUUCAAAAUAUUGAAUAGUGUCAGGAAAUGGGCUUUCAACCUUUAGUUAAGCUUCCGUCAUCCCACUGCUCCAUUCAGAUUAAAUUAUUUUGAACAAAUAUUUUCAGGAGAACAGAGAAAAUAUAAAAAGUACUAUGUAAUACAUAGAAUGUUGUUCCAUAUGUCAGUGCUGUUUUACUUGUUAUACUCACUGUUAAGUUUAUGAGCAUCUUAUUGUUAUACAGCAUGAUGAAAAUGAAUUCUAAAUAGAGUAUCAAAAUUAAAAACAUAUGACGUCUGUUGAC
Gallus gallus (chicken) is the source of this 1592-nucleotide long non-coding RNA. Lineage: Eukaryota; Metazoa; Chordata; Aves; Galliformes; Phasianidae. The record is from Ensembl.